CUACACCACCACCUACGGUUGCAGUUCCUCUGCCAACCUCUCCUGCUCCCAGCAUUGCUCCCCCCACUUCAUCAGCUCCGGUAUCCCCUCCUCCUCCUGCUGCUCCCAGCCCCCCUCCUCCUUCUCCUCCUCCUCCUCCUCAUGCUCCCAGCACUACUCCCAGCAUGGCUCCUACGGUAUCCCCUCCUCCUCCUUCUCCUCCUCCUCGUCCCCAUGCUCCCAGCAUGGCUCCUACGGCAUCCCCUCCUCCUCCUCAUGCUCCCAGCACUACUCCUAGCAUGGCUCCCACCACUUCAUCACCUCCGGUAUCCCCUCCUCCUGCUCCCAGCACUACUCCCAGCAUGGCUCCCACCAUUUCAUCGACUCCGGUAUCCCCUCCUCCAAUGUCUUCUCCGAGUCCAAGUCCAUCCAUGAGCUCCCCACCUGCGCCUGCACCUGAAACGCCAGCCUCUCAACCAGCUCCAGCACCUGAAACGCCAGCCUCUCAACCAGCUCCAGCACCUGCUCCCUCCAACACCACCACCCCCUCCUCCCCAGAUUCAGGUGCAUUUGUUCAGGGAAGUAACAUGGCUUUGCUCACACUCUUUGCAGGAGUUGCACUCCUCUUUUAAGCUCCAGUGUUUCCACGAUAUUCAUUUCCAUUCACAUUUGUGUAGAUUAAAUAAUGCUUUAUGUAUUCUUUUCCUGGUAUUUCUUUUUCAUUGGGAGCUCUCCAGC
Molecule: long non-coding RNA, 717 nt
Filed under: Coffea arabica (coffee)
Lineage: Eukaryota; Viridiplantae; Streptophyta; Magnoliopsida; Gentianales; Rubiaceae
Description: long non-coding RNA (CARA_LNC006098)
Source: RNAcentral